UGAUUUAAAAUGUUAAGAUCAUGGGACAUGCUGGGAAUUUUAAAAAUUGAAGUGAUAUUAAGUCAGGCUACCCGACUUAAAAACAUUUCAUAAUUAAAAUAAAAAUAUAAUUAAUAAAAUAGAAAACGAAAGAUGGUUCUCACUUCUCACACGACCUUCUCCCUCAACACGGACAAAACUGAACCCUAAACGCCUCUCCGCCGCGAACUUCUCCCUCUUUGCAACGAAGCCCUAAAUGCCUCUCCACGAAUCCCCUCUCCGAUGCCUCUCGGCGAACCUUCCUUCCUCUGCGACGAAAUCCUUUCUACUACCACCGGUGACUUUGUUCUUCCGCCUCGUUGUUCAGAGUUUUCAAGGUUAAAUCAGUUUUCCUUUCGAUUCUAGUCUUCUCAUUCUUCAAUAGAUUAUGAUUCUAAUUUUCCUUUUGUUUUGCUUCAUUUUGCUUUCAGAGUUUUCAAGGGUUUUUCAACAGUUCUCUUCGUUGUUGCCGCCAUCAUCACGUUCAAGUCUUAAUCAACCCUAUUUCUUCAGU
This 532-nucleotide long non-coding RNA is filed under the name Trifolium pratense (red clover). RNAcentral's name for it is "long non-coding RNA (TPRA_LNC008823)". The record is from RNAcentral. Lineage: Eukaryota; Viridiplantae; Streptophyta; Magnoliopsida; Fabales; Fabaceae.